AGCCCCCGGCUUUCCCAGGCUCCCGGUGCGGUGAAUGCCUCUUUCACCAGCAGUUCCCCACUUCCCCAAAAAGCAUCACCUUGCCAGCUCCCUUCCUCCCACCAGCUGCCAGGAAAAAAAAUUAGGGCAAGGACAGGGAGUGAGAGCAAAACCAAUGAACUUGUUUCCAGCUUUUCCUUCGGAUCAGCCGUCCAGCACCGGGAGAAAAACAUUUCUCCUGUAAAAAAACUCCCCUCUCUGUGCAGGCUCCGAUCCCGUCGUCACUGGGACACUGGCUGGAGACUUGGUCUCAGCUCGGCAGCAGAAGACACCGUAUCACCAUGAGUUCAUGGAGCCAUGAGGAUGGCCUGAGCCCCACGGGGACACCCUGGGCCCUGUGGGGACCUGCCACCUGCCUUCCAGUGGAACUGUACAGGAGCUGUCACAGCUCUGUGUUAGCAGCGUGGUGCAGAUGGAGAUGCUGAGCCACAGCACGGAGCUGGGUGGGAGCACACAGCAGGUGUCCUGACAGGUGUUCUGGACUGUUCACUUCCCGACCCCUCUGCUGCACCCUGAUGGAGCCCGCCAGAGCAGCCACCUGGGGCACCCCUCACCCUGACACGGGUGGGCACAGGUUUGGCCACGUGUGGCAUCCACGAGUCCCUCACCAGAGCUCCGGUGCCACCACAGUGAGAGGUGCCCGGCAUUACUGGUGGGGAGCACGGAGUCCCUGCUCUGCAGGACGUGACCAACUCCAGGCCUGCGCUUGCUCUGGGAGCUGACGGCUGUAUUUAUGGAUUGGGUGGAAAUCCAGAAGGCUUCGUCAAACGUCCCACGGGCCCCGGGCCUGCCCCUGCCCGCGGCUCGGACACGUCACAGACACGCCUGUGGGCCUGCGAAUGGUCAGCCAUGGAGGACAGCCCGGGGGGGACACGGCUCAGUGGGGUGGGCUGCCUUGGUGAGGACGACAGCCAUGAGCCCCGUUCAGCCACCACUCGCCAUACAAGUCCCCUCAGCCACAAGCCUCUCUCUGGUCACGAUCCCCUUGUCCAUGAGCCCCCUGGCGAUAAUGCCCCUGGCAACCAGUGCCCUUGGCCAUAUUGCCCCAAACCAUAAGCGCCCCCCAUCCCAUUGCCCACCCACCCACGCCGUGCAGGCACCGUGGGGACCCCACCGCGAGGUGGCCAGGGGCACGUGGGGAUGCCCUGGAGCAUCCUC
Long non-coding RNA from Vidua macroura (Pin-tailed whydah), 1197 nucleotides. RefSeq lists it as uncharacterized. The record is from RefSeq and is a predicted model, not a curated record. The transcript is spliced from 3 exons. Lineage: Eukaryota; Metazoa; Chordata; Aves; Passeriformes; Viduidae.